Molecule: long non-coding RNA, 1218 nt
Filed under: Equus asinus (donkey)
Lineage: Eukaryota; Metazoa; Chordata; Mammalia; Perissodactyla; Equidae
Description: lncRNA (ENSEASG00005023857.1)
Source: RNAcentral
CGGUUCUUCUCAGAUCUCAACCCUGCUGCGUUUCCGACCGGAAGUUAGACCAUCCGCUCCACGGUUCUCCAGGUUGCUGACCGCAAAUCUCUGAAUUGGCUCACAGGAGUAUGGAGACCGAGAAGUCCCAAAAUCUGUGUCCGCGUUAAACUGGACAACGCGAGAGCAGAUGGCGUGACUUCCGGUCGGGAACCCAGCGGCUUGAGAUCCGAGAAGAGCCGCGUUUCAGUUACACUCUGAAGCACAGAUUGUCAGCCUAUUCCCCUGGACCAAUCAAUCUUGAAUGGAGAUAAGAAAUCUGUAUUAAAUCCUCAGCUGGGAGCAAAGAACUCCAAUGUCCUGGGAGAUGACAAAAUCACAAGAGGGAAGGAAGCUAUCUUUCUGACUCAGCAGGUGGAAGGCAGGUCUUACAGAUCCCAGCAGACUGUCACAUGAGUGAGAAAUUAAUUUCUAUUGUGGAAUCAUACUCCCUACUCCUGACCACUAGGGUUAUAUCUUUGAAUGCUAUAAGGCUUCGUCUGUAGAAGCAGUAUAUCUUGGAAGAAUUUCUCCAAAAAGUACCCUGUUGGGACAGGAGGACAUCCUCGAAGACGUGGAAUUACUAGGUCAAGAUUUAUGAAGGUUUUUAAGCUGUCAGUAUUGCCAAAUUCGUAUGCAUUCAUCAGCUCGCAUCCACAUCAUGAAAGAGCACCUGCUUCACUCCACCUUGGCCAGCCCUCUCACUGCCCUUCAGAAGAAUGUAGCAGUAUUGAUAGUGUUUAUGUGUUCGCCAUGUGCUGGGUACCUUAGUGCAUAAGCACAUCAACCUUGGAUGGCGUGUGUUAUACCAUGCCAUCCAAGUGUGCUCAGAAACCAGCUCUCUGAAAAGGGUAGAGGGGUAAGCCCUAUUUGUAACAUUAUCCAAAUUUCAGGGUGGAUAUGCCUCCAACAUAGCUGAUUCCACCCUCCAGGGGCUUAACAACUGUUUCCCAAAUCCCUGACUGUUUAAGUGAAUCUACAAAAAUGGUGCUAGCACAUUGUUCAUUUCAAUACCUAUUUUACAGAUAAAGGGAUUAGUUUUAAAGAAGUUAAAUAAUUUUCCAUUAAUUACACAACUGGGAGGCAGCAAGCCAGGACCAAACCUGACAUUUCUCUGAGGAUGGAGCUGACAUUCUUAACCAUUUCUCCUGCCUCCCUUUCAGAACUAUGACUAUUAAAAGUUUCUUUCUACAUCAUUAA